AUACGUAGGGAGCGAGCGUUGUCCGGAAUUACUGGGUGUAAAGGGAGCGUAGGCGGGACGGCAAGUCAGAUGUGAAAUACAUGGGCUCAACCCAUGGGCUGCAUUCGAAACUGCUGUUCUUGAGUGAAGUAGAGGUAAGCGGAAUUCCUGGUGUAGCGGUGAAAUGCGUAGAUAUCAGGAGGAACACCGGUGGCGAAGGCGGCUUACUGGGCUUUUACUGACGCUGAGGCUCGAAAGCGUGGGGAGCAAACAGGAUUAGAUACCCUGGUAGUCCACGCUGUAAACGAUGAUCACUAGGUGUGGGGGGACUGACCCCUUCCGUGCCGCAGUUAACACAAUAAGUGAUCCACCUGGGGAGUACGGCCGCAAGGUUGAAACUCAAAUGAAUUGACGGGG
RNAcentral lists this ribosomal RNA (396 nucleotides) under uncultured bacterium. RNAcentral's name for it is "partial 16S ribosomal RNA". It matches the Rfam family "Bacterial small subunit ribosomal RNA", at positions 523 to 918 of the family's 1533-position model. The record is from RNAcentral.